GCUGAGAUAGCCAAGUUGGUCAAGGCACUUGUUUGAAGAACAAGCUAUGUUGGUUCGAUUCCAACUCUCAGCA
This 73-nucleotide transfer RNA is filed under the name bacterium. RNAcentral describes it as "tRNA-Phe". It matches the Rfam family "tRNA". From Rfam's summary of the family: Transfer RNA (tRNA) molecules are approximately 80 nucleotides in length. Their secondary structure includes four short double-helical elements and three loops (D, anti-codon, and T loops). Further hydrogen bonds mediate the characteristic L-shaped molecular structure. tRNAs have two regions of fundamental functional importance: the anti-codon, which is responsible for specific mRNA codon recognition, and the 3' end, to which the tRNAs corresponding amino acid is attached (by aminoacyl-tRNA synthetases). tRNAs cope with the degeneracy of the genetic code in two manners: having more than one tRNA (with a specific anti-codon) for a particular amino acid; and 'wobble' base-pairing, i.e. permitting non-standard base-pairing at the 3rd anti-codon position. The record is from RNAcentral.